Molecule: non-coding RNA, 72 nt
Filed under: unclassified sequences
Source: RNAcentral
CGGCAUCAUGACUAAGCCUUUACGUGGCGAUGCUAUAAGUAUAUCUUAUAACUAGAUAGAAACUAAUUAGUC